GACGAACGCUGGCGGCGUGCUUAACACAUGCAAGUCGAACGGAAAGGCCUUUUCGGAGGUACUCGAGUGGCGAACGGGUGAGUAACACGUGGGUGAUCUGCCCUGCACUCUGGGAUAAGCCUGGGAAACUGGGUCUAAUACCGGAUAGGACCGCACUUUAGUGUGUGUGGUGGAAAGUUUUUUCGGUGUAGGAUGAGCCCGCGGCCUAUCAGCUUGUUGGUGGGGUAAUGGCCUACCAAGGCGGCGACGGGUAGCCGGACUGAGAGGUUGGUCGGCCACAUUGGGACUGAGAUACGGCCCAGACUCCUACGGGAGGCAGCAGUGGGGAAUAUUGCACAAUGGGCGCAAGCCUGAUGCAGCGACGCCGCGUGGGGGAUGACGGCCUUCGGGUUGUAAACUCCUUUCGCCGGGGACGAAGCGUUUUGUGACGGUACCUGGAGAAGAAGCACCGGCUAACUACGUG
This 463-nucleotide ribosomal RNA is filed under the name uncultured bacterium. Its description in RNAcentral is "partial 16S ribosomal RNA". It matches the Rfam family "Bacterial small subunit ribosomal RNA", at positions 28 to 507 of the family's 1533-position model. The record is from RNAcentral.